CCUCACCUGAAGCACCAGCGCUUGCCCUGUUCGUUGGCCAUGCCGCCCCCAGACAGGUCCUUCUCCACCCCGGACCGUAGCCUGCUCCUCACACACCGAGGCAGGCCCCACUCCAGGUCCAGCGUGGUGAUGCCUCUCUGCUGCCAGAUGCGGGUGUUCUCCUUGGCGGUCGCCUCCACCGUGUGACUCAUCAGGGCGAUGAGCAUGUUCAUCAGCAGGACGUAGGCUGUUGCUUCUCCCAAACCAUGGACCCAGAAGUGGGCACCAACAGCAGUGGAGCAUGUAGGCUGAGGGAUGGUCGCAAUAAAGGGGGAUUGAAAGGAUAAUACUGUAUUGAAGAACAAUAUAUAGAUAGAGAUACAUAUCAGCCGUUGUGUCUAGCAAUCACUGCAGAUAUUAGGGUGAAAAUUCUAUAGGGUGAAAAUAAAGUUGUUUUGAAGGCAUCAGUUGUUAAUGUUCUA
Molecule: long non-coding RNA, 461 nt
Organism: Gadus macrocephalus (Pacific cod)
Lineage: Eukaryota; Metazoa; Chordata; Actinopteri; Gadiformes; Gadidae
Exons: 3
Source: RefSeq, a predicted model, not a curated record